This 977-nucleotide long non-coding RNA is filed under the name Olea europaea (common olive). RNAcentral describes it as "long non-coding RNA (OEUR_LNC014571)". Lineage: Eukaryota; Viridiplantae; Streptophyta; Magnoliopsida; Lamiales; Oleaceae. The record is from RNAcentral.
UAUAUACCAAAUGGGCUUAUAAAACUGGUAAUAGAAUUGAACAGCUUGCUCUUACCGAGACUCUGCUUUUUGCUCUCUCUGGGGCGACUAUGAAUUUCAGGGAAUGUAGAUCAACCAAAGAGUUAAUGAACGGAAUAUGAAUUAUAAUACCGUAGGAAAAGGGGAUCCCAUAGUCACGUCUAUACUGACGGAACAUUUCAACACACUAGUUAUAACAAGACUCCGAAAUGGCGUAAUCUGAAUAACCAUUCAUAUCUUCAUCUAUAAGGUGAAUCAAUAUUUAUUCACUAAAACAAAUGCAUGCUUAUAACUGGAACACCAUUCAAUUCAAGCAAAAAAAUAAAAAUAAAAAAGGAAAUUGCACGUCUGCAGCUAAUAGAGUUACCACUAACCAGGACUCCAACUGAAAGAAGAUAGAAUUUACAGUCGUGCAUUUUAUCAAACAUGUUAUCAUCAAUAUAAUAUUCAUCAGUCGAGACAAAAUUUCAAAUAGAAAAACGUAGAUGGAUACAUACUGGGAUAUAUAACUAGCAUACUUGAAGAACACACUAUUUCUACUUUGUAGACAGGCUGACUGAUUGAGUUAUACCUAUAUGAAAUAGAAACGUGAUUCCCAGAUAGUUUCGGGCAGUUGUACUUUCCUCGAACAAGUUCCGGAGCACUUGGAACUCCUCUGCAGGCUACAUAACGUGCUGUAAAAGAUUCCAAACGAAAUUGUACCUUAUCCUCGUUGUCCCAUUGAUGUGCUGCCACGUUUGCAGUAACCCGAUCUGCACCACUGCUUUUUACACCCAAGAUUUCCGUUGGGGCCCAAUAAAUAUCUGACGGCUACCAAUAAUUGAAUUGAAAUUCUAUUAUAACGAGAAUGUGAUUCCUAGUCCUAUAGGUAUAUUAAUAAUAACCAACAACUCAAGUGCCUAUAUAUAGCUUGAUAGCUUCAGUUCCUGAUUCUUAUAUUUACAAAUACAAUUGUUUAU